This is an RNA transcript of Sorghum bicolor (sorghum), 1480 nucleotides long. RefSeq lists it as uncharacterized. The transcript is spliced from 4 exons. NCBI's taxonomy places the organism in Eukaryota, Viridiplantae, Streptophyta, Magnoliopsida, Poales, Poaceae. The record is from RefSeq and is a predicted model, not a curated record.
CUGUUCUUCUCCUGAGGCAGUCAAAACCCUAGAGGAGGCACGACACAGGCACAGGCGCCCCUUAGCCGUGCGGCGGCCUGGCCCUCAGGUGUGGCGGCUCGGCCUUCCAGUCCUGGCCGGCCAGCGGCAGGCCGCACGAAGGAGCAGCCAGCCCCUUCCGUCCUGCAGGCGGCAUGAAGGUCUCCUGCCUUCUUUAGGUUUUGGUGUUUAGUUUUUGAGAGGUUAAAAAAAUCUGAACUUUGAGUAUGUGUAUUCGUUGAGAUUUGAGAUGGGAAAGAAGGGCCGAAUCCUUCUCGUGCCCUCUGGGUUUCAUGGCAUAUAUUUGUGAUUUUGUCUUCACUGUGUUCUUCAUUUUUCUUUAUUUUCGUGCUUAGCUGUGAUCCAGUUUUCCCGGAGUUUGAGCCAAUCUCAAGCAAUGAUUUUUGGGGAAUAGUUUUGUGCCUAGGUGAAUUUUAUCUGACCAAAAUUUGGGAGCGAUUUGUGAAGAUUUGAGUCGAAUUUCGUUGUUUGUUUUAGCCGCACCUUUUUCUGUUCUUGGAGCUCGGUCUCCUGUUCAUCCGUCCAACCAAUCAGGCUGCAAGUCACUUGAACCAAUGGGAGCUGGGCUUUGUACGUGAGUACCCAGGACCUUCGAGUCUUUAGCCAGCAACUCUGCAGUCCACUACUUUUUCUCUUCUGCUCGAUCUUGGUUCCUAUGUGUUCUAGAUUUACUUGGCGGCUAUUGACCCUAAGAAAACUUAUAUUUCCUUGGCCCUCUGGCAAAUUAAGUCUGGUCGUUGUUUUCUUGGCGGCCAGCCUCCAAGGAAGUCAUCCUUGAGUGUUAAAACUGUCAAGAAAACUAAUUUCCCUUAGCUUCUUCCCUUUCCUUGGCGGUUUUUGGCACUUAAGGCAAUUCAGGAUUGUGGCAGUGAAUAUUCUACUACCGUAUUAUCAGAAUGGAUUCUACAUUUUAUUUAUACAAGAUAUGCAAAACAAAAUAGUGCGCAUUAUGGAUCCACUACAAGAUCAACCAUGUAAGAAGGGUUAUAGUCAAAGUAUGGUAUACGAAUCUAUGCUCCAUAAUAUUGAUAGAAUGUUCAAUCUCGCCAUGGGACUAUCAAAAUCAAAGAGAAACUAUUGUAUAUAUUCAUGGAAGCGAGAAUACCCUGCAUACGUAACAAAGGUUCAAGUAAACACGACAGACUGGAACUUGGGAGGCUUCCUUGUAUACAAUUUCAUGAAGCUGCGGGACGGUGUGACAUUGCCAUCGAUCAACAAUCUAUCAACAUCACUGAGGACGGAGUUCUUGGCUGACAUCUUGACAAGUCGUGCAAACGAAUCUUAUGACAACAUCCCUGAAGAUAUUCAAUAUCCGAUCAAAAAGUUAGAGAAUAUGUAAAAAUUACUUCUUAUAUGCAUUGGUGACUCCAAUAUUGUAUACAGACUCAAAUACAAUUGUGCAAAGGUUAAACUCUUUCAAAAAAACUUUUCUUAGAAAAAA